Molecule: ribosomal RNA, 446 nt
Filed under: uncultured bacterium
Lineage: Bacteria
Description: partial 16S ribosomal RNA
Rfam family: Bacterial small subunit ribosomal RNA
Source: RNAcentral
GUGAACGCUUGCAAUAUACAUAACACAUGCUAGUCGAAUGUUUUUUAUAACAUGGCGUACAGGUGAGUAAUACACAAAUGUCUUCUUUAGAGUUCAAACUAAUUAUAUUUAUAAAAAAAAAAUGCGAAAGCAGUAAAAAUGUUGAAUAGUAGUAAAGACUUAAGUCGCUCUAAAAUGAUGUUGUAGAGGAUUAGGUUGUUGGUGGGGUAGUGCUUACCAAGCCGUUGAUCCUUAGCUGUUCUGAGAAGAAGUACAGCCACACUGGGACUGAGAUAAGGCCCAGGCUUUAGCCAGCAGUGGGGAAUUUUGGACAAUGAGCGAAAGCUUGAUCCAGUAAUAUUGCGUGAAUGAGGACAGCAAACAAGACCCGUAAGGGUCGGCUGUAAAGUUCUUUCGUUGAUUUAGAUAAUGACGUUAAUCAAAAAAGAAGCCCCGGCUAACUUCGU